UAAGAGACAGCAGCCGCCGCGGUAAUACGAAGGGUGCAAGCGUUACUCGGAAUUACUGGGCGUAAAGCGUGCGUAGGUGGUGGUUUAAGUCCGUUGUGAAAGCCCUGGGCUCAACCUGGGAAUUGCAGUGAUACUGGGUCACUAGAGUGUGGUAGAGGAUAGUGGAAUUUCCGGUGUAGCAGUGAAAUGCGUAGAGAUCGGAAGGAACAUCUGUGGCGAAGGCGACUAUCUGGGCCAACACUGACACUGAGGCACGAAAGCGCGGGGAGCAAACAGGAUUAGAGACCCCUGUAGUCCCUGUCUCUUAUACA
This 311-nucleotide ribosomal RNA is filed under the name uncultured bacterium. Its description in RNAcentral is "partial 16S ribosomal RNA". It matches the Rfam family "Bacterial small subunit ribosomal RNA", at positions 502 to 808 of the family's 1533-position model. The record is from RNAcentral.